This 10031-nucleotide long non-coding RNA is filed under the name Equus caballus (horse). Its description in RNAcentral is "lncRNA (ENSECAG00000056670.1)". Lineage: Eukaryota; Metazoa; Chordata; Mammalia; Perissodactyla; Equidae. The record is from RNAcentral.
CUGACACGUUACAAAGCUGCGAACUUCAAAGCCGGGUUUAAAAGGUUCUGUUCUCAUCCAGCAAAAUAAGUUUGCUUUUUACAAUGCCGAAGAGAAAAUCCCAACAAAUUAGAGUGGAAUCUUAAACAAUGAAGCAGGCCCGACUCAGGAAUAAGGAACCAAUCAAUGCUAUCAACAUGGCUUCUAUCUGUCCUUAGGACUCUAAUCAUUUCCAGAUGAUAGCAUGCAUCUGAUUAGGGCCCUCUGGCAGCCCUCGCCUCCAUCAGGGCCCGGUGAAAAGGAGAACAAACAGGAGGCUCUGAAGCUGGAGUCCAAGAUUUCACUCAUCUGCAGGAUUCAGCUCAUCUGGUGGGCCUGCCAGGCAGUGCUACAAGUGGUCUAUUUGGGGUAGAACAUCAUCCUGGGCAAAGCCGCAUGGUCCCCAUCUCCACAUAACCGUCGAACCCAGUUCUGGAUGACUCCUGGCUGAGUCACAGGGAAAGAAGAAAGAGCGAAAAACAAAAAGCCUUUUCACUAAACUCUCUGAGAGACCUUGAGAGCCCUGCUUGGAAAUAAGAGUAUCAUAAAGGUAGGAGAAGGGAGAGACUACCAACUCCCCUUCACACACACACACAUACACACUCAUAUACGCACACAUACAUGUAUAUACACGCAUGCGCACAUACACACAUGCACUCAUAUGCAUGCAUAUACAUAUGCGCACAUAUACACCAUACAUUCACACAUAUGUAUAUAUACUCACACACAUACAUACAUACACAGACAAACGCACACUUGCUCCUGUUUGGGAAGGUCAGGACAGCCCUGCCCUCCAGGAACCCAAGAGCUCUAGAAGUACCAGGCGGCUGCAGUUCCAGUAACUUUGUCUCUCCCUGGCACUGGCACUGGCACUAGAUGGUGGCAUUGGCAGCAACAAACAUGGUUUCCGCCUUCUCUGGGGACUGAUGCAGGUGACAACAAAAAUGACCGUAUGCAGCAAGAUGAACUACAUGAAAAAACUGCAUAGAAAAAAAUACUGGAAGGAAAUACAGCAAAUGGUUUUCUUUCCUAUAAGGAUGACAGCCUAAAUCUUGCAUCCUUUGAAAUUUACAUAAAUCUCACUCAAACCCCCUCUCCCAAAUCCAGAAGGAAGUCUGGGAUCCUCUCCCUGAGGUCUACAAGUUCCAUAGGGCUUGGCUUCUCAGAUCUGCUGCUUCGUGUCCUGCUUCCCCUUCACUCUAGUCCCACUGACAUCUUACCUCACUCAGCUCUUUUCUUCUCUCUGCCCUUUUUUUCUCCAUUUCUUAAAACACGAUUUACACAUGGCUUUGGGUGUAACAGACUUCACUGAAGGUGUGGGGAAUUGGUGAUGGGUAGGGGGAAGAGAAGGGUGCCCAUGUCAUCAUAGCACUUAAAAGUCCUCCAGCCACCCCUACUCUGGUGAAUUUCUCACCCGCCCACAUCUGCACAGCCCCUGGCCACCACCUGUCACACCACAGCUCAGCCUACUCCCCCGCCCGCUGCUCCGCUCACCUCUGCCUCUUCCUCCAGUACCACCCACCAACUGCUCCUCAUUCUUAUGCAGCGCAGUGUAACUACGGCUGUGUCUCUGUGCCUCCAUCUACCAGGCCAGCCUGAAGGGCCUCCCUCUUUCGUUUCACCUUCAAAGCACCCUGUCAAGGUAUUUUACCAAACAAAAAUCGACUUACUCCUGAGACGAACAGCUCUGCUGCUUCCCGAAGGGCAGAAUCAGUUGCAGUCGGCUACAGUUUAAAAUAGUAUUUUGACCUCUACUUCAAGUAUUUUCCAUACUAUCCCCACAGGCAUGUAUUAAUUCCUAAAAAAAUUUUUGAGCAAGAGUUCACAUAGCUGUAGGCCAGUGGUUCUCAACUGGGGGCAAUUUUGUACUCCAGAGAUGUUUGGCAAUGUCUGCAGACAUUUUUGAUUGGCGUAACUGUGGGGGUAGGGGUGUUACCUAUAGUAGGUAGAGACCGUGGGGGGUGCUAAGCAUCCUAUAAUGCGCAGGACUGUCCCCCUCAACAAUGAAUUAUCUAGCCCAAAACGUCAAUAGUGCUGAGGUUGAGAAACUACUAUAGGCCCAUGGGCAUCUAAAGAGAGUAACAUAGGGACUCUCUCUUCCCCUGUUUAAAGUAGAACCAAUUAAAGGAAGCCAUUCCCUUCGCUUUGGCAGAAUGACAGCAACUAGGCAUUGUUGAGAACUCACCCCGUUCCCCACAACUCUAUAAGGCAAGUUGCUGUCCAAUUAUCACCCCUUUUUUAUGGAUGAGGGAACCAAAUUGAGGCCUAAAGGGGGUAAAUAAUUUGCCAUGGUCACACAGACAGUGAGUGGUAGACCCACGAUAACCGGAGACAGAGAUGUCUAUGUCAGGCAUGGAGGCAAUCUCGCUGACGUUCACACUUCGGUCUUAAACUUACCACACACAGAUGUUUCUUGUAUUUCUACCCGAUUGCUAUGCAAACAGAGAGGGUGCUAAAGGAAAUAAGAUCUGGCCAUUAAGUUUCAUCUCAAAAUUGUGAAGGGAAGUUUUGUAGAGAGAACUUGAAAAGUGUGUUUCAUUCAGGAAACUUGAUUUUUGUCCUUUAAAAUUAAUCAAUUAUAUUAUCGGUGCACUAAACAUAUAGGUUUUUAAAAGUAAUUUUAAAGGUGCAGUUUUAAAUAUGGGCAGGAGGGCAGCGGGCAGGAACAGAUGGUUUCACUGGAAAGUUCUACCAAAUGUUUAAAGAAGAAUUAAUACCAAUUCUACAUAGUCUCUUCCAGAAAAAUAGAAUAGGAGGGAACCCUUCCCAAUCUAUUUUAUGAAGCUAGUAUUAACCCUAACACCAAAACUAGACAAAAAUAGUAAAAAAAAAUGAACACUACAGACCAAUAUCCCUCGUGAAUAUAGAUGCAAAAAAAAUCCUUAGCAAGAUUUGAGGAAAUAGAUCCAGCAAUAUACAAGAAGAAUUAUUUACCACGACCCAAGUGCAGUUUAUUUCAAGGAUACAAGGCUGGUUCAAUAUUUGAAAGUCAAUCAGUAUAAUCCACCAUAUAACAGGCUAAAGAAGAAAAAAAUCACAUGAUCAUAUCAUUCAAUGCAAAAAAAUCAUUUGGCAAAAUUCAACAUCCAUUCAUGAUUAAAAAAUUUUUUCAUAAAAAUACGAAUAGAGGGAAACUUCCUCAACUCGAAAAAGAGCAGCCACAAAAAAACCUACAGCUGACAUUACGCUUAAUGGUGAAAGACUAAAUGUUUUCCCCCUAAGAUCAGGAAUACAACAACGAUGUCUGCUCCUACCACUCUUAUUCAACACAGUGCUGGAAGUUCUAGCCUGUGUGAGAAGGCAAGAAAAGGAAAUAAAUGUGUACAUAUCAAAAAGUAAGAAAUAAAACUGUCCAUAUUUGCAGUUGACAUGGUUGUCUAUACAGAAUAUUUCAAGGAAACUACCAAAAAAAGGAAUGAAAAAGUAAUUUCAGCAAGAUUGCAGGGUAUGAAAUAAACAUACUGGGGCCGGCCCAGUGGCUCAGCAGUUCAGUUCGCACGUUCCACUUCUCAGAGGCCCGGGGUUCGCAGGUUCAGAUCCUGGGUGCAGACAUGGCACCGCUUGGCACGCCAUGCUGUGGCAGGCAUACCACAUAGAAAGUAGAGGAAGAUGGGCACGGAUGUUAGCUCAGGGCCAAUCUUCCUCAGCAAAAACAGGAGGAUUGGCAGUAGUUAGCUCAGAGCUAAUCUUCCUCAAAAAAAAAAGAAAGAAAGAAAGAAAUAUACAAAAAUUAAUAGUAUUUCUAUAUAUUAGCAACAAACAUGCGGACACAAAAUUUUUAACUAUAAUGCCAUUUACAGUCACUCAAAAAAUAAAAUAGGUGUAAAUCUAACAAAACGCGAACUUGUAUGCUGAAAACUAACACUAAUUUUUUUUUAACUCAAAGAAUAUCUAAAUCAAUGGCAAGACAUUCUAUAUUCAUGGAUUGAAAGACUCAACAUAGUAAAGAUGCUAUUCUCCCAAAACUGAUAUACAGGUUUAAUAAAAUUCUGGCCAAAAUCUCAGAUAUUUUUGUAAAUAUAGACAGGGUUAUUCUAAAAUUUAUAUGGAAAGUCAAAGGAACUCGAAUAGUUAAAACAAUUUUGAAAAAGAAAAAAGAGAGAGAAAUCAGUCUACUUGAAUUUGAGACUUUUAUCUAGCUAUGGUCAUCAAAGCUGUGUGGAAUUGGCAGAGGGGUAGACAUGUAGAGCAGUAGAACAGAAUAGAGACCCAGAAACAGGCCCGUACAAACAUACCCAACUGAUUUUUGACACAGAUGCAGAAGCAAUUCAAUGAAGGAAAGAGAGCCUUCUCACAAAUGGUGCUGGAGCAAUUGGACAUAAAAAGCAAAAUAGAGAAAAAGAACCUCAACCUAAGUCUCACACCUUAUACAGACAGACCUUAUUUUAUUGUGCUUCACUUUAUUGUACUUUGCAGAUACUGCAUUUUUUGCAAGACCCUCCACCAGCAAAAAGUUAUGACUUGCUAAAGGCUCAGAUGAUGGUUAGCAUUUUUUAGCUAUAAAGUAAUUUUUAAUUAAGGUAUGUACAUUGUGUUUUAGCAUAAUGCUAUUGCACACUUAACAGACUAUAGUGAAGUGUGAACUUAACUUUCAUAUGCACUGGGAACCCAAAAAAAUUGUGUGACUUGCUUUAUUGCUAUAUUUGCAUUAUUGUGGUGAACUAGACCCAAACCCACAAUAUCUCCAAGGUAUGUCUGUACAAAAAUGAAUUCAAAAUGGACCACGGGCUUACUAUAAAACUUUCAGAAAAUAACAUAGGAGAAAAUCUUCAAGAUCUAGGGCUAUGUAAAGAGUUCUUAGACUUGAUACCAAAAGUAUGGUCCAUAAAAGUUGAUAAAUUGGAUUUCAUCAAAAUUGAAAACUUCCGCCACAACCAGAAGGAUCCACAACUAAAAAUACACAACUAUGUACUGGGGGGCUUUGGGAAGAAAAAGGAAAAAUAAAAUCUUUUAAAAAAAAAUUGAAAACUUCUACUCUGUGAAAGAUCCUCUUGAGAAAAUGAAAAGACAAGCUAGAGAGUGAAAGAAAAUAUUUGCAAACCACAUAUCUGGCAAAGGACUAGUAUCUAGACUAUAUAAAGAACACUCAAGACUCAAGAGUAUAAAAACGUACAAUCCAACUAGAACAUGGGCAAAAGACAUGAAAAGAUAUGUCACCAAAGAGGAUAGGCAGAGGGCACAUAUGAAGAGAUGCUCAGCAUCAUUAGCCAUGAGGAAAAUGCAAAUUAAAACCACAAUGAGACAUCACUACACACUUAUCAGAAGGGCUAAAAUAAAAAAUAGCGACAACACUAAAUUUUCAUGAGGAUGUGGAGAAACUGGAUCACUCAUACAUUGCUGGCAAGAAUGUAAAAUGGCACAGCCACUCUGGAAAAUAGUUUGACAGUUUCUUAAAACACUGAACACACACUUACCAUAAGACCCAGCAACUGCACUCAGACUCAUUUAUCCCAGAGAAAUGAAGAUUUAUGCUCACACGAAAACCUAUACAUGAACGUGUAUAGCAGCUUUAUUUGCAACAGCCAAAAACUGGAAACCACUCAGAUGUCCUUCCAUGGUGCAUGGUUAAACAAACUAUGCUACAUCGAUGCCGUAGGAUACUACUCAGUAAUAAAAAUAACGAACCAUUGAUACAGGCAAUGACCUAGAUAGCCUCCAGAGAAUUAUGCUGGGUGACAAAGCCAAUCCCAAAUGGUUACACACCGUAUGAUUCCAUUCAUAUAACAUUCUUUAAAUGAAAAAAUGGAGAAAUGGAGAACAGCUUAGGGGUUGCCAGAGGUUAAGGAAAGGUUAGGGGUAGGAAGGAAACAGGUGUGGCUAUAAAAGGGCACGGUGAGGGACUCAGGUAGUAAUGGGAACGUACUCUGUCUUUACUGUUUCAAUGUCGAAAUCCUGAUUGUGAUAUUACACUAUAAUUUUGCAAGGUGCUACCAUUUGGAGAAACUAGGUAAAAAGUAUAGGGGAUUUCUCUGUAUUAUUUCUUACAACUGCACGAGAAUCUAUAAUGAUCUCAAAAUAAAAAGUUUAUUUAAAUAUAUAUGUAUUUAUCUAAUAUAAAUAUAAAUUUAUUUUAUAUAUAUUAAUAAAUAUAUAAAUUAAAUAUAUUUAAUAACUAUAUAUUUAAACUAUAUGAUAAUUAUAAUAUUGUAACGAACUGUCAUAAUUAUAGAACUAAAUUAUAUUACAUCUAUUUAAAUAUGUAUGUGGAAUUCACCUUAAGCUUUUCAAAGAGCCAUAGUUUGAAAGAAAGAUAAGCCCUGAUACUGGCUUAGGAAAAGGUAAAAACAGUGCAAGCCCAGAACAGGCUAGCUCCGUGAUUAAGGCUAACAAGUACCCAUUCACUGGAGGAGACGCCCCUAAAUGUGAUCAGGAGACAAGUUGCCCACUGUCCUGAAGAGCAGGCGCUCAAAUCCAUGUAAAAUAAACUGUAGACAUAGAAAUUAUAAAGUGAGAAGAGUGUGGAAGCCAAGGAGGGCGAUGUCGUAAUGACAAGUGCAAACAGGAAACGGGGAGUUACCAUGGAGUCUAGAAAGAGCGAGAGGGGGAGACACUAGGUGUUUUUCUAGCACUGACCAGGACAGAACACAGCUGGCCAACACAAACAUCCAGUCCACUGGGCAAACACAGUCCUCGCUGAAGGAGGACUUUUCUCUGGGCCAGUCACCACGUGAUGAAAAUAUACCCUCUAGGAAAUCCAAUUUCCUCUGCUUGGGUUCCUUAUUCAACAAGCAACCUUCUGAUCUUAAUUUGAUUUUUUGAUGGUUUCCUCACCAGAAGAGAAGGAGUUAAUGGGAUCCAAUCUGCUAAAUGAUUAUGUGUUUUCUUCCCUUAUGACCCUCCUAUGGUUUUUUGGCAUUGGGUAUUGUGUUCUAAACUGUUUUCUGUCUAGCAUCACAGUAUUUUCCCUCCAACAAGAAUAUAAUCCCCUUCAGCAAAGGGACUGAGUCAACAACCAUUUAUUAAGCACCUGUUAUGUGCUUGGAACUGUGCAAGGAUCAAAGGAAAACGAGAACUGAGAUAUGACUUGCGCCACCAGUGAUGGCUAAUUUCCUGGUGGCCCUGUACCACUGGGCUGGUAGUUAAGACAUUAAUGGCCAAGAAUGUGGGCUCCAGAAUCAAACCAAUGGGGUUCAAAUCCUGGCUCCAACAUUUACCAUCUGUGUGACCUUGAGCAAAUUACAUAACCUCUCUGACCCUCAGUUUCCCCAUCUAUAAAGCAAAUAGGAGACCUCACAAGUUGUGAAUAUUAAAUGAGUUAAUUUGGACAAAGCACAGCACCAGAGACAUAGUUAGUAUUCAUUAAAUGGGAAUUAUUACUUCUCUGAUAAUCAUUGUCACAGUAGUAAUUUUCAAUUCUGUGAGACUACACUUCUCUUUCCUCCCAUCUAACUUGCCUGCCCACCUGAGAUCCAACCAUUUACCAAGUGCCCCUUUCCAGGCAUCUGGGAAUGCCACAGAUUGCAGAAAAGUUCUAUAAAUUGCCUUGCCUGUCCCUUGCCACCAACCAGCACGAGACUCAAACCCACUGCUCUUUCUUUUAGGCACCUUCAGAUCAGCUUCUCCUACCCCGAACUGUGCCACCUCCUCUCAUCCCCAAAAUGGGCCAAGGCUGCCCUCCUUCCCCACAGUGCUGGCUGAGGCCUUCAUUUGACUUGGCCUUCAGAAGGCUUGGGGAUAACCAAAGGCACCUGCGCCCAGAGAAUUCUAAACAACUCUCAGCAUCCGAGUUUACCGCUGUGUCUCAGAGGCUGCCUCUCUGCCUCUCUGAAAAACCACGCAGUCUCCAGGCCCCGUAUCAUUUGAGGCCCAUAGAGAGGGGGAAAAAAAAUAAAACCUGUUUUGUUCUGUUCUGUUUAGUUUUAAACAGAAAUUUAAUCUCAGAGAUGCAGCUCUGCCCACCAAGAAGACAGUCUUGCUCGUUCCUCUGUAGAGUAUUCAUCCGUGGGUGUGGGGAGCCGCGCGUGCGCCUCUGGCUCCCCCAGGCCCAAGGGCACUUUGCUUUACCUUUGCAGGUCCGUGAGGCCCGAUAUAGAGGGAGUCUGCCCUCAGGGGACAACGGGGCUCCCUGCUGCAGAAAUAGACUGUCACAGCUUCAAUAACCCUCAUGAUCCUCCUCUAGCCACCAAGGUUUCAAAAAUCUUGAGGUCCUUUAUUAACCAAGGCACCCUAGCACACCUGUUUACAUCCAUUGUGCCCAGCUUAAGGCACAACAGCUGAAUUCAUUGGAAAGGACUUGGCCGCUUAUAACAGCUACUGCCAUGCCAAGUGUCUGAACAGAGUCCUGAUUGGCACAAACACCAGUCUGACCUCCCCAAAUAAUUGAAAGGCAGUUUGAAUCUGUUGUUGGGCUUCUUUGCUAAAAAGAAAACACUAAAGGGAAAUACAGCAAAACCUAUUUAAAUCCUCUUUCCCCUCCCCUCCCGGGCCUCUGCCCCAGGAUUCGCCCCUUGAGCUAUUCUUUUUCUCCCCCUUAAGUAGCUCCUUCUGGAAUGAACGACUCAAGGCUUCCUCUACUCAUCAGCCCGGGUGGGGGCAGCCAGGCUGGCAGAAUCUUCCCACAAAGCUCAGAGGAACGUAUGCCUACAGUUAGACACACUCCUGCUUUCAUUUUGUUGUUGUUCCUCUCACAUGUUAGGUUAAAUACCGAGAGGUAGUUUUUCCCAACAGUUAUCAAUAAACACAAGGUUGUCUCCCAUCAAUAUGACUAUACAGUCGCCCUUUCUGCUUGCCCAACUCAACUAAAUUUUCAUUUUACAAGAGGAAAAUAAACAGACUGUAAGAAGAGAAGAAAAGGGAAGAGAAGAAGAAAAGGGAGAAGAAGAAGAAAGGAAAAGAGGAGGAAAUGAAAAGAGAGGAAGUGAGGAAAAGUGAGAGAGGAGAGGAAAGAGCAUGGUUGAAGGUUUUCUGUGCCUUCUGCGGAAAAGCCUCGAGCUUGCUGGAGAGGGGUCCUCAAAGGCAGCCUGAUCCUUUCCCUGCACGUUCUGGUGAUCCCAAAAUAAGAUCAGUGGUAGAUGACAUUGCGCUUUCUCGAAACACCUUUCCGAGAACACCUCCCACCACGUGUCAAAACAAAUGAAAUUCCACAUUCCUGCUUGUAAAUAUUUUUCCCCGGCAAUAAAUGAAAGCUGUGAUUCCACAGAUACCUCACAGCUUAGCAUUCUUUAUGAGGUGUAUAAAUAAAACCCACAGCGUGAUUGCAGAGCUCCUAUCCUGGCGGCAUCGUUUUUAUCCUACGGGCGAGCACAUAUUUACAUAAUUCAAUUCAACAAAUACUGAUUGAAUAUACAUAGUAUGAUAUAAAUAUGUAUCAAUACGUAUGAGAACUAAAUGAAGAGAAGCUGGUCAGCAUCAGGCAGUGUGGGUGAGCCCCGACGGCGCCCCCCUCAAAUCCUGCAGCGGGAUCGGGCUGUCUAACUGGGGGGAACAGAUGUUACUUGAGUACCACCACAUUAUUCACCUAGCACUCCCCUGUGCCCGUCCCUGAUCCCACAGUGCGGAGGAUAAAUAAAAUCUGUGUUUGUGCAUUAAAUCAACAUGCAUUACACGCCUCUGAAAAUACAUAUAAGAUGCAGGAAUUGCAUCUUUAUUUCCAAACACAAUCGUUAUGAAAGUCUCUUAAAGAAAUUGGGGGAACCAUGGGGAAAUUUUAGCAUUUUUGACGAAGGAGAAAAAGGUUUCAAGUUGCAUCUGUUAUUUGAAUUCUUAGGCUGAGGGACUGACCUUUUGGAUAUUAGCAAAUACCUUUCUAAACUUAACAAAUUUUGCAAAGAAAAAGCCUAUAAAUGUAUUUAUUUCUGAAUCUGCACUGAAGGGAAAAUUAAAACUGCUCUGCAUUAGUCCGCUCUGGCUGCCAUGACAAAAUACCAUCGAAUGGGCAGCUUAAACAACAGAAAUUGAUUUUCUCACAGUUCUGGAGGCUUGAAGUCCAAGAUCAAGAUGCCAGUAGGUUUAGUUUCUGGUGAGGCCUCUCUUCAUGGCUUGGAGAUAGACGGCUGCCUUCUCACUGUAUCCAC